This 580-nucleotide ribosomal RNA is filed under the name Clostridioides difficile. RNAcentral describes it as "bacterial SSU rRNA". It matches the Rfam family "Bacterial small subunit ribosomal RNA", at positions 1 to 606 of the family's 1533-position model. Lineage: Bacteria; Bacillati; Bacillota; Clostridia; Peptostreptococcales; Peptostreptococcaceae. The record is from RNAcentral.
UUUUAUUUGAGAGUUUGAUCCUGGCUCAGGAUGAACGCUGGCGGCGUGCCUAACACAUGCAAGUUGAGCGAUUUACUUCGGUAAAGAGCGGCGGACGGGUGAGUAACGCGUGGGUAACCUACCCUGUACACACGGAUAACAUACCGAAAGGUAUGCUAAUACGGGAUAAUAUAUUUGAGAGGCAUCUCUUGAAUAUCAAAGGUGAGCCAGUACAGGAUGGACCCGCGUCUGAUUAGCUAGUUGGUAAGGUAACGGCUUACCAAGGCGACGAUCAGUAGCCGACCUGAGAGGGUGAUCGGCCACAUUGGAACUGAGACACGGUCCAAACUCCUACGGGAGGCAGCAGUGGGGAAUAUUGCACAAUGGGCGAAAGCCUGAUGCAGCAACGCCGCGUGAGUGAUGAAGGCCUUCGGGUCGUAAAACUCUGGCCUCAAGGAAGAUAAUGACGGUACUUGAGGAGGAAGCCCCGGCUAACUACGUGCCAGCAGCCGCGGUAAUACGUAGGGGGCUAGCGUUAUCCGGAUUUACUGGGCGUAAAGGGUGCGUAGGCGGUCUUUCAAGGCAGGAGUUAAAGGCUACG